Molecule: long non-coding RNA, 1155 nt
Organism: Cyprinus carpio (common carp)
Lineage: Eukaryota; Metazoa; Chordata; Actinopteri; Cypriniformes; Cyprinidae
Source: Ensembl
UGAGUCUGGUGUCAGUGCAGCUGUAUAUGAUCAGACCCAGCGCUCGGCUGCAGCUUUAUUUCCCAUGAUGCUCUCUGUUUUCUCAGCUGCUGUCCGUCACUCUGUUGACUCACAUGGAGGAAAGUGUGUUUUCCCUACAAACCAGGAUUCAAAGCUUCCGCAGAGACAGAUGUGUGUGUGUGUGUGUGUGUGUGUGAUAUUUGACCUUUGACCUUCAGAUAAUAAACAACAAACCUGUGUGUCUCUGGCUCUGUGGAGCAGCAGCAGUAUAAUCGUGUUAAUAAAGUUACACUAAAGCUGAUUAGGUGAUGAAUGUGUGUCUCAUCUGUCUGACCUGAACAACAAUACAGGUCACACGGACAGGAAAUCACCAGCACACUUCCUGUUUCUCCACAGGGCCCUGCAGCUCAGUGCUGCUGACGGGACAGAAACACUUCUGAUCAAGGCUCAGUGUUUAUCUGACACUCACACAUCAAUUUAUUCAGCUUCCAGAUGAUGCAUUAAUCUCCAUUUCAGACAAAUUAACCCUUAUGACUGCUUCUCCAGGGUCACACAUGUUUUAAUAUUUAGAAUUGAUAUUUCGAGGCAUUUGGAUUUGCAGAAAAUGUUUUUGUUGUUGUUGUUUUUCUUAUCUCUGUUCACAGAGUUCUCUUGCUGCGUCAGUAAAACGCGAUCCGUCUCGUCGUGUUGUUUGUCCUCUUUCGGACGCCGUGUGUUAGUGUCGCGCAUGCGCAGUCAGAGCGGUCGCUUCAGGGUAGCAUGCACUUGAGUUUGUUACCUGCUCUUUGAAUUAAAAACAUUAUGAUCUGAUUGUUUUACAUUGUUAUUAUUGUUACAAAUAUUAUAUCGCAGCUAACGUUAUAUAAAAGCGUUUAUAAGAAGAAGAAGGACGGAAGACGAAGCGGAAUGAAUCAGUUUGAACAUUUGAAGGAGGAAGACUGUGGUGAGCAGGAGAUGAAGGACAGUAACGAGAGUGACGGAGGAUCAGUAAACAACAACAACAACAACAUCAGACGCAAGGUGACACACUCACAUACAUACACACACUCACACACACACACACACACUCACUCUCAAACACACACACACACACACUCUCAAACACACACACACACACUCACACGCUCAAACACACACACACGCACGCACACACAC